Molecule: ribosomal RNA, 468 nt
Filed under: uncultured bacterium
Lineage: Bacteria
Description: partial 16S ribosomal RNA
Rfam family: Bacterial small subunit ribosomal RNA
Source: RNAcentral
GACGAACGCUGGCGGCGUGCUUAACACAUGCAAGUCGAACGGAAAGGCCCUGCUUUUGUGGGGUGCUCGAGUGGCGAACGGGUGAGAAACAAGUGAGUAACCUGCCCCUGACUUUGGGAUAACUUCGGGAAACUGGGGCUAAUACCGGGUAGGAGCUCCUGCUGCAUGGUGGGGGUAGGCAUGUUUCGGCGGUUGGGGAUGGACUCGCGGCUUAUCAGCUUGUUGGUGGGGUAGUGGCUUACCAAGGCUUUGAGGGGUAGCCGGCUUGAGAGGGUGCCCGGCCACUUUGGGACGGGGUUCCGGCCCGGCCCCCACCGGGAGGCAGCAGUGGGGAUUAUGGCACAUGGGCGGGAGGCCUAUGGCGGCACCGCGGCGUGCGGGUUACCGGCCUUGGGUUGUUAAACCGUUUUCGCAUGUGCGGAGGCGGUGGUGACGGUAAUGGGUAAAGAAGCACCGGCUAACUACGUG